CCCUCCCGUCCUGCCUCCCCCUCCUCUCGGCUCAGCAGCGCUUCGUCGCGGCUUCUCUCUCGUGCCCUGCGCGCUCCGGACUCCGGUAUUCAAACUUUCCUCAGAGGAGAGACGGACGGUUCAACGUCCCGCAGGUGGAGCAAAACUAACGACUCUAACCGACCCGGUUCCGUUGUUUGGACCCUGACGUGGGAUUCGUUACAUGCCUUCUGGCUCCUGCGCGGUGCGGGACGCGGUCUCGGUGCGCACCGGACCAAAAAUGGACCGCGGAACGCGUCCGCUCUGGUUCCGUGGCGAUAAGACCAACUGAAAGGAAUCCGGCACCGAAGAGGACCGACCGGAGCACCGCGCACGUUCCCUUCUCAUCUUCUCCUCGAGUCCACGCGCCAGCCAGCGAGACGUCAGUGGAGACUCGAGGACACGGACAUACUGUAGCGGACACCCAAGAAGGACGUAGCUUCGGGGGGGACAGACGUCACAAACCGCCAGGACGCGCGAGGAACAGUCAGACGUGCACGCAGGAGGGAAAACGAAUCAUUGGAAACAUUUCAGCAGUUUGCACCCAUUGUGCUUUCUGAUGGCGGGUUUUUCUUGGACGGAAGCAACACGUUUUCCUGUUACAUCAAAGCGGCGGUCUGGGACCAGCCGGGCCAACUCCAGCAAUGAGCCAAAGAGCCAGAACAUCAGAGGAAGAAAAGCAGCUGUUAGACGCACGAGAAGCGUCCCGAAAAGGAAAAUCCUUCUGUUAAAUCAGACCAAAAGCCCCGUCGGAUGUUUCUGAGGCGGCUCUGACGGAGGAGGCCUUUUUUCCAGCUGAAGACCGGGUGA
Gasterosteus aculeatus aculeatus (three-spined stickleback) is the source of this 828-nucleotide long non-coding RNA. NCBI's taxonomy places the organism in Eukaryota, Metazoa, Chordata, Actinopteri, Perciformes, Gasterosteidae. The record is from Ensembl.